RNAcentral lists this ribosomal RNA (253 nucleotides) under uncultured bacterium. RNAcentral describes it as "partial 16S ribosomal RNA". It matches the Rfam family "Bacterial small subunit ribosomal RNA", at positions 524 to 776 of the family's 1533-position model. The record is from RNAcentral.
UACGUAGGGGGCAAGCGUUGUCCGGAAUCAUUGGGCGUAAAGCGCGUGUAGGCGGUCCGGUAAGUCCGCUGUGAAAGUCGGGGGCUCAACCCUCGGAUGCCGGUGGAUACUGUCGGGCUUGAGCACGGAAGAGGCGAGUGGAAUUCCUGGUGUAGCGGUGAAAUGCGCAGAUAUCAGGAGGAACACCGAUAGCGAAGGCAGCUCGCUGGGACGGUACUGACGCUAAGGCGCGAAAGCGUGGGGAGCGAACAGG